GUGUUAGAAGACGGUAAUGCAACAACAUGCCUCCAUGCCUAAGUUUUGCCAUGUCAACAACGCUGCCAGUGUUAGCGUGCUAAAGAAAGUCUCUUCAGGAUUACGAUGUUUAGGCUAGCAUGGCGUCACUCGGUGUGUAGAGACAGCUUUGCGUUGACCACGCGCUCUUUGGCUGCAGCGUUGUUGGGACCGGAGCGUUCGCAGCAGGGUCCUCUUCGCAGCCUCAUCUCCAACCCACUGAGCGAUAGGUCACCGGUCCUCCAGCCGCAGCCGGCCCGCUACCUCAGUCCACCUGUUUGUAGGAGCAUGGCGUCAGGAGGUGAGCAGGAGUCCACUUGUCAUAAACACACCAACAGGUUGGCCAAAGAGAGAUCGCCCUACCUCCUACAGCAUGCACAUAACCCUGUUGACUGGUAUCCAUGGGGACAAGAGGCUUUUGAGAAGGCAAAGACUGAAGACAAACCAAUUUUUUUAUCAGUGGGCUACUCCACGUGCCACUGGUGCCACGUCAUGGAGAGGGAGUCUUUCCAGGAUGAAGAAAUUGGUAAAAUCCUUAGUGACAACUUCAUCUGCAUCAAACUCGACAGAGAAGAGAGACCUGAUGUGGACAAAGUCUACAUGACGUUUGUACAGGCAACAAGCGGAGGUGGAGGCUGGCCCAUGAGUGUGUGGUUGACUCCUGAGCUGAAACCUUUUAUUGGAGGCACUUACUUCCCACCCAGAGACCAAGGAAGACGACCCGGUUUCAGGACAGUCCUGAUGAGAAUCAUAGAACAGUGGCAGAACAACCGGGCUGCUUUGGAGUCCAGUGGGGAAAGGAUCCUCGUUGCUCUGAGGAAAGGCACGAGCAUCAGUGCCAACCCAGGAGGAAGUCCUCCUCUUGCCCCUGAUGUAGCUAAUCGCUGCUUCCAGCAGUUGGCUCACUCCUAUGAAGAGGAGUAUGGAGGCUUCAGGAAUGCUCCAAAGUUCCCCUCACCAGUGAAUCUGAUGUUCCUCAUGUCCUACUGGUCUGUGAAUCGCUCAACAUCAGAAGGGGUGGAAGCGCUCCAGAUGGCCAUGCACACACUCAGAAUGAUGGCACUGGGAGGCAUCCAUGACCACGUGGCACAGGGCUUUCAUCGAUAUUCCACGGAUUCCUCGUGGCACGUUCCUCACUUUGAGAAGAUGUUGUAUGACCAGGCUCAGCUGGCUGUGGCUUACAUAACUGCUUUCCAGGUGGCAGGCGAGCAGUUCUAUGCAGAUGUGGCAAAGAACAUACUGCUGUAUGUCUCCAGGGACCUGAGCGACAAGUCUGGAGGCUUCUACAGUGCAGAGGAUGCUGACUCUGUUCCAGCAUCAGGGGGGCCAGACAAGCGGGAAGGAGCGUUUUGUGUCAGGACACCGUCAGAAGUUCGGGAGCUCUUGUCCGAUGUGGCAGAGGGCUCCACUGGAGGCGCCACGCAGGCAGACAUCUUUAUGCACCACUAUGGGGUCAAGGAGCAAGGCAAUGUUGCUCCAGAGCAAGACCCUCACGGGGAGCUGCAGGGCCAGAAUGUGCUGAUUGUUCGUUACUCAGUUGAGCUCACAGCUGCUCGAUUUGGCAUCACGGUUGAGAAGGUCAACCACCUCUUGGCCUCUGCCAGAGCCAAAAUGGCAGACAUGAGGAUAACUCGGCCACGCCCACACCUGGACACCAAGAUGCUGGCCUCCUGGAACGGCCUGAUGCUGUCGGCCUUCGCUCGGGUCGGAGCGGUGCUGGGGGACGAGGCCUUACUGGAGAGAGCGAAGCAGGCAGGAAACUUCCUGAAGGAGCACCUGUGGGACUCUGAGACGCAGACCAUCCUCCGAUCUUGUUAUGGUGGUGAACAGCAUGAGUUGCAACAAAUGUCUCCUUCCAUCUCUGGCUUCCUGGAUGAUUAUGCCUUCAUUAUCUGUGGCUUGCUGGACCUCUAUGAGGCCACGUUUCAAACAGAGUGGUUGCAAUGGGCUGAGGAGCUGCAGCUCAGGCAGGACUUGUUGUUUUGGGAUGACCAGGGUGGAGGCUACUUCUGCAGUGAUCCCAGUGACAGCACCAUUCUGCUGCAGCUGAAAGAAGAUCAGGAUGGAGCGGAGCCCAGUGCAAACUCUGUGUCAGCAUCCAACCUUCUCCGUCUGUCCCACUACACUGGAAACCAGGAGUGGCUCCAGAAGUCCCAGCAGCUUCUGACGGCAUUUUCGGAUCGACUCGCCAGGGUCCCCAUAGCCCUGCCUGAAAUGGUUCGGGCCCUCAUGGCCCAACACUACACACUUAAACAGAUUGUGAUAUGUGGCCAGAGGGACGACUCAGAUACCGCCGGUCUUCUAGCUGCUAUCAACUCACUCUACCUCCCGUUUAAGAUACUUAAAGUAUUUGACCACAUUACUUUCAAAGCUACUGUUGGGUAACUACAGAUUUGUUAUAUUUUACAAGAACGUUGCGCUCUAUGAUGUCAACACCAAAACUGCCAAAAGAAAGGCGGCCCAAAACGAUCUCCUAACACAUGGAUUUUCUGCUUCCUGGUCACGUGGCGUGUGACGUAUGCAGAUGAAGAUCGGCUUUAGAGCUGGGAUGUUUUUUCUCACGGUUUUGAUGCUCACUGAUGGAAGCCCGGAGAGCUUCCUGUGCCAGCGCCUGCCCGUCCUCUCCUCCAUGUUCCAGUUGGAUGGUGUCGCCACAGCCCACGUCUGCCAGGACUUCACGUGCUCUCUCCCCGUUACAGACCCACAGGAACUCCGUCGGCUCCUUCUGGAUGGAGCCACAGACAGCUAGAAGGGCACCUGAACUCUUAAUGGUUUAUGCUAUUUCUGGCUGUUUCUGUUAUUGAACCCAAAAGCUUUUAAAGCUCAAUCAGCUGUAUUGAUUGGAGUAGGUCCAUCCUUCCUCAAGUUGUCCCAGAUCUGUUACUACAGCCUUUAUUAGCAGCUAAAUAUUACCUCAGAGUCUUUUUAACAUCAGGGUUGUGAGAAUGUUUAUUGUUGAGUUCAUAUUGAUGUUCAGGUGAGUAAGCUAGCAGCAGAAAGGAGCAACACCUGUACAACAUGGCUGUUAGCUCAGAAGAAAAGCUCCGAUUCUUGAGAGGACGUGUUGUAGGAACACUUCUGUGACCUGCUGCCGCGCUCAUCCUCGCGUCACGUGGAUCUAACUUUCUGCCUGAGACCUCAAAAGACGUCAGCACGUUUCUAUUGAGCCAUUUGUGUAAACCAAUCACAGCGAACGAGCAGCUUUUUGCCACCAGCUCUUUGUUUAUUCGGUUUAAUUCAUCACAAUGCAAAAGAAGACCCCGUCGUGCAUAAAGAGCACUUAGCAUGCAUUCUCUGAAUAUUAGAUUAUGCUCUCUUAGAGACCUGUCUGAACUGCUUAAAGCUGUGGAACCAAUCAGAAACUGCAGAAGGGAGAUGCCGAAGUGUUGUUUCCAUAUAUAAACAUCAUCUCACUUGAAUCAUUCAAUAAGUAGUGCUGAAGGUUUUAGGAAGUCUAACUUGAUGAGGCUAAAUGACUUCCUGUUUGAGAUUCUGAUAUCAGCUCUGGUCUGUCCACCUCAAAUUCGUUUUGAUGAUCAGGAUCAACCCAGGAACCACCGAGACUUAACUCUGGAACCUGCAGGACCACCCGUGUCUCUGUCCACUAUGAAACCAGUUUUAUGUCAACAUGGACUCAGGACCAAGACAGAAGCUCCUGCUCCAAAAGAUGCACCUUCAUGCUGGACUGGACUUUUUGUCCACAAUGACAAGACGUCUGCUUAGAGGAGUCAAGUCCUCAGAAAGCCAAACCAGCUGUCAAGCAUGGAUGCUGAUGCUCCAUGACGGGAUGUGGUUCUGGUGCACAAACAGGAUGGAAGACCAUACCUCCAGGUGCCUCAGCUCCACCUGAGAUCAUCAGCUGGAUGGUUCAAACUUGGACCCAGUUGGGUGUUCCAACAGGACCAGUGGCGUGUCUAGAUCUAUUAAAAUGGGGUGGCCCAGGUGAGGCACAACUUUGUGCAUGGGUGGCACCAAUGGUUAUGCUUUUUUUUUUUUACCCCCAAGCCUUUUGGAGACAAUGAAAAGUCUAUUUAAAGGUAAAUUAGUGUGGUGGUACCUGGGGUGGCCAAUCAGAUUCCAAGGGUGGCAUGUGCUACCCCUGGACACGCCCCUGAACAGGACGAUGUCCCUAAACACACAUCAGAGCUGGAUUCUGAUUGGAUAAAACAGGCUGUCAUGAACCUUCUGAAAUCACAAAGACCCAAAAACCUCAAUUCUGUUGGAAAUCUGCCAACCAUGACAUCACCAGCUGGCGUCAGCGCUCAGUCAUCCACCAACAAGAAGUCCGACCUAGCAGAUGUAAAGCAGAAGGGUGUUGGUGGAUAGAAAACAGAACUACAGAAUUCUCCAAACCCAACUUCAGUAAGCAGCAUUUAUGUAUGUGUGAGCCUGUCUGAAUGCAUCCCAGCACCUUUCCCUUUGUUUCUGGUGCUUUCCGAGUGAAUUUCUGUAGCAGUUUCUCACCUUUUAUGACCAAAUAAAGGUAAGACCAAUUAUGCCUGGGGAUGAGAGUGGGCAUGAGGA
Non-coding RNA from Nothobranchius furzeri (turquoise killifish), 4542 nucleotides. Lineage: Eukaryota; Metazoa; Chordata; Actinopteri; Cyprinodontiformes; Nothobranchiidae. The record is from RefSeq and is a predicted model, not a curated record.